CGGUAUUCCGAAUCAUUGUACGAGUUACUGAGUUUUUGGAUGGGUUGUGGCGGUACGGUUGGCAGCAGGAACUCUACCUCCUGGAACUCUCAUGUCUCCAACACAGGACCAUAUCCCUUCUCCAAGAUUAUCAAGGAUUGCUUACAAUUACUGCAGCAUGAUGGAGACAUUCAUGUGAAACUGUACAGAGAGACUACAUCAUGAGCACCAAAGGCAAUUGGAGGAGGUGCAAAUGAAUCACUACUUUACCUGGAAGGAGGGUUUGAAUCCUUGGAUGUUGGGAAGGCAAGAGAUACUGCCUGGCCUGCUGAGUUCCUCCAGCAUUUUGUUUGUAGCUCCAGAUUCCAGCAUCUGCACUCUCUUGUGUCUCCUGUCUUACUUUUUAGUCGAG
Long non-coding RNA from Pristis pectinata (smalltooth sawfish), 391 nucleotides. RefSeq lists it as uncharacterized. The record is from RefSeq and is a predicted model, not a curated record. Lineage: Eukaryota; Metazoa; Chordata; Chondrichthyes; Rhinopristiformes; Pristidae. The transcript has 3 exons.